AGUGAACGCUGGCGGUAGGCCUAACACAUGCAAGUCGAACGGCAGCACAGUAAGAGCUUGCUCUUACGGGUGGCGAGUGGCGGACGGGUGAGGAAUACAUCGGAAUCUACUUUUUCGUGGGGGAUGACGUAGGGAAACUUACGCUAAUACCGCAUACGACCUACGGGUGAAAGCAGGGGAUCUUCGGACCUUGCGCGAUUGAAUGAGCCGAUGUCGGAUUAGCUAGUUGGCGGGGUAAAGGCCCACCAAGGCGACGAUCCGUAGCUGGUCUGAGAGGAUGAUCAGCCACACUGGAACUGAGACACGGUCCAGACUCCUACGGGAGGCAGCAGUGGGGAAUAUUGGACAAUGGGCGUAAGCCUGAUCCGGCCAUACCGCGUGGGUGAAGAAGGCCUUCGGGUUGUAAAGCCCUUUUGUUGGGAAAGAAAAGCAGCAGGUUAAUACCCCGCUGUUCUGACGGUACCCAAAGAAUAAGCACCGGCUAACUUCGUG
Molecule: ribosomal RNA, 492 nt
Filed under: uncultured bacterium
Lineage: Bacteria
Description: partial 16S ribosomal RNA
Rfam family: Bacterial small subunit ribosomal RNA
Source: RNAcentral